Long non-coding RNA from Ctenopharyngodon idella (grass carp), 2761 nucleotides. RefSeq lists it as uncharacterized. Lineage: Eukaryota; Metazoa; Chordata; Actinopteri; Cypriniformes; Xenocyprididae. The record is from RefSeq and is a predicted model, not a curated record. The transcript has 4 exons.
CCUAUGACUAAACCGUUUAGUGUAAUAAUUUUAUGAGGUUGUUUUGUCCUCCAACGUCGGUGUCUAAUAGCCUUCCCCCUCCGCUAUGUAAGGAAAGCUGCUACAGAUGAGUGAAGUGUUUCGUUUUUAUCACCAUCCUACCACAGUUUCAUUAUAAUCAUCAUCCUAUUUAUUUUGAUUAUUGACUAUUUUAUUUUGGCGCUCCCGGCGAGUGAUGUCAUGUUAGCGCUGACCCUCCGCUCUUCCCUUCCCUUCAGUGACGUUUUGAGCGGGCCCAACAUACAUACACACAAGGACCUCAAACAUGUAAAAGACUGGACGAUCAUCAGAAGCCUGAAACAAUUAGCCGGUUGGCAGAGUGAGAAACCCGGAUGGUAUAAAUCAGCAGGGAGGCAACAGGCUCCAGGAAGGUGAAACCAAAGAAACCACAUCAAAAAUGUCUGCUGUGCCACCUAUUUUUUCAUGGAGUUCACUGAGCGUUUAUAGUAUUGUGUGUUGGAACUAGCUUAUGCCAAACUACACACCCUCUUGCAGUGUGGUUACUACCGGAGAGCACAACUGAAACUGUCCAUUCAGCAAGGUUGUAUGGUGGGUCAGCGAGAAGCAUGACGGAAGCUUCACUAAAUAAAGGGGAAAUUUGUGGCCGAUGUGAGAUCCUCCCACUUAAAUCAGCUAUUUAUAUGGAAUCGUAAGGGCUAUAAUCGUGGUCACCUAAAUAUGACCCUCAGCUUUAGGAAUGGAACGGUUUAACUUGCUUCAUGGCAAAGAGAGAAAAAAAUAGCACGCUAAAGAACACGGUGAAAUAAUGUUUGGCUGUAAUCAACCUGUGUUUGACUCAAAUAUUUUGCUCCAAGUAUUCCUUUUCUAUAGUUACAACAGUGGUGCUGGUAAUCACAGGUUGAGAAACCCAACCAUUUGAAUUUAGAAUAUGCUAUUAUUUCCCCCAAAAAACAACAAAAAAAACAGUGAAAAACUGUAAUGCCUCAAACAUAUGGGAUGUUUUGGAUGAACAUGCAUUUAAAAAAAAAAAAUGUAUAUAUAUAUAUAUAUAUUUAAAAUAUAAAUUUUAUAGUUUUUAAAUUUCAAAUAUAAAUAUUUUCCUGCCAUUAUUUAUGCCAAACUAAUAAAAGCAAAAAAGGCUAAAAAGCUUUUCAUUUUCUUAUAUAUGUUUAUAACUUUGAUCAAUUAAUUUGAAAGAACUAUAGAAAAUAUUGUUUAUUUCUAUAUUUCUUUCAAUUGAAUUCUGAAUAGCACUCAACUGAAUAGCACCCAAAUUUCCUCUACAUUUCCUCUUGGUAGCACUUCAUGGCCUUUGUGGCCUAAAAAGCCCAUAAUUGGAUGAUCCACAGGUUCAUUAGUCUCAUUCAUCAGCCGUCAAAUCAGUUAUUUUUGUAUUCACCCAAUAUUCAGAUGACUGGGGUCCCCUGGGACGAGCUGAGCCCCGCCUCACUCCAGACUACUCUCUAUGACAUUGAGAUUGAGCACAAUUGAUGUGGCUCCCAAAAGGCUUGGUUGCCAAGAUUCAAAAUGAGGAAUGUUUUUGGAACAAUGAACAUAUAGAGGCUGAUUUUCAAUUGUGAUUUUUCCAUUGCACGUGAAGGUGGAUGGAAUAGAGAGCUUAAGUGUUUUUGUGGGCCGUUUCAAGACUUCCAAGAGCAAAACAAAGAAGCAGCUCUUCUUGUAAUGCAUUGGCUAUUUCUUGAAAUGUCAUUCUAGUUCAUUGGCUUUACAUAGUGUUCAUGAUGCAAAAAUCACAUUCUUACUGAAUGACCGUAAUUAUGUAACAAAUACAAAAUAUGUUUGUGAAUUGUCACUCACGCUCAUAUUGCGCAAUACUCCUGUCUGAAGUCUGAUAGAACAUGUUCUUGGUUUCCAGUAGAUUUCCAGGUUUAUGUAAUUGCUAAAAUGUAAGGUGGCCAGUCUGUACAGACUGUUCAUUCUUCACAAUCGGAUUUUACUGUUGCCAGUGUGGCAUGACCUUUGCAAUAAUCCCUCUGUUCCAAAAGGAAGUGAUUCUAAAUCUUAAUAAGGAGAUUUGAGUGGCAGCCCGGCCUGGGUUUAAUAUCUCUAUAAAUUAUUUCAAUAAUUAUCUUUCAAUUUAUUUAGAUUCUUAAAUCUUAAAUGCAUUUCUUAUAUUAUUUGUGUUUUGAAUAGAAAAAUUUGACUGGCUUUAUUGGUGAAGUGGUUUGGUGGUAUUGGCCUGGUCUCUAACCACACUGUUGUUACACCAGUCGUCCAGGGCAUUGAGGGCUUCCCUCGAAAGGCUUGCAUAUAAAUAAGUGUGAAGGCUAGAGGAAAAACAGAGUUUUGACAGAGUCUGUUUUUAUCUGAACAGGAGCUUUCCAGCAUUCUGUUUUUGUUGUUUCCUUUCCCCUUUAAUUGGGAACCUCCUUGAUGUUUUGUUGUUAAUUUCAACUGCUCCCUUUGGGAACCAAUAAUAAUUCCAUUCCAAAUGAGUUCUCAGACUGUGUAUUAGUUGCAAGUUGUCAUUUUGUGAACAUGUUUAAUGUGUCAUAGUGCUGGACUUGUUGUGAUGAUUUAAUGUGCUUGCUGUUGUUGCGGUCACAGGCUGCUUUGUUGCUAACAGAGCUCUUAGCAAAUAAAACCUAUAAUUUAAAGACAAUUUUAGUGAACAAAACAUAUUUAACUCUUUCACGGUGUUGAAGGGAGAAAUUUACUGUUGUGAUCUUGUGCUGCAAAUUUAAAAUGAAAGGAAGAGGUUGGUGUCAGAUGUUUAUUCAUAACCAUUGAUUAGGAAGUC